This is a non-coding RNA of Chiloscyllium plagiosum (whitespotted bambooshark), 215 nucleotides long. Lineage: Eukaryota; Metazoa; Chordata; Chondrichthyes; Orectolobiformes; Hemiscylliidae. The record is from RefSeq and is a predicted model, not a curated record.
UAAAAAUAAACAAAACAUUAUUAAAUUCGAGACUGUAAGGUUGUACCUAGAAAUCUCAAAUCACAAAGAAACUAUUGCCUACAUGUGGUCAUAGCAUUACAAAUUGACUAAGCAGGCUAUCUGUUCACACAAAGUCAAUGAGGAUGUUCCCAAAUUCCACCAAUCACCUUAGGUUGCUCUUGCUCAUCAAACUGGUAGUCGACGCUCCUGAUCUU